AGCGUAGGCGGUUUUUUAAGUGGGGUGUGAAAUCCCUGGGCUUAACCCAGGAAUUGCAUUCCAUACUGGGAAACUAGAGUGCAGGAGAGGAAAGUGGAAUUCCAAGUGUAGCGGUGAAAUGCGUAGAGAUUUGGAGGAACACCAGUGGCGAAGGCGACUUUCUGGACUGUAACUGACGCUGAGGCUCGAGAGCGUGGGGAGCAAACAGGAUUAGAUACCCUGGUAGUCCACGCGGUAAACGAUGAUUACUAGGUGUAGGGGACGCAGGUCUUCUGUGCCGGAGCAAACGCAAUAAGUAAUCCGCCUGGGGAGUACGGCCGCAAGGUUGAA
This 330-nucleotide ribosomal RNA is filed under the name uncultured bacterium. RNAcentral describes it as "bacterial SSU rRNA". It matches the Rfam family "Bacterial small subunit ribosomal RNA", at positions 568 to 898 of the family's 1533-position model. The record is from RNAcentral.